This 253-nucleotide ribosomal RNA is filed under the name uncultured bacterium. Its description in RNAcentral is "partial 16S ribosomal RNA". It matches the Rfam family "Bacterial small subunit ribosomal RNA", at positions 524 to 776 of the family's 1533-position model. The record is from RNAcentral.
AACGUAGGAGGCGAGCGUUAUCCGGAUUCACUGGGCGUAAAGCGCGUGCAGGCGGUUCGGUAAGUUGGGCGUGAAAUCUCCUGGCUUAACUAGGAGAGGUCGUCCAAUACUACCGGGCUAGAGAGUGGUAGAGGAAGAUGGAAUUCCCGGUGUAGUGGUGAAAUGCGUAGAUAUCGGGAGGAACACCAGUGGCGAAAGCGAUCUUCUGGACCAUUUCUGACGCUCAGACGCGAAAGCUAGGGUAGGAAACGGG